UUAAAAUCAAUGAACAAGAGUAGUAGAUAUAAAAAAGGUCUAUAGAGAGCUGAGAAGGGUGGAAACUUGGCGAUGCUUUUAUAUCGAAUGGACUUGGGAGAGAAAAUCUGAAAUUUAAGUAGGAUUUUACGGCUUGUCACCGUUAAAGAUUUAAGUGAGCUUUUAGCUAACAAGAGUGGUACCACGGGAACUAACCUUUCGUCUCUAUU
RNAcentral lists this non-coding RNA (209 nucleotides) under Sporanaerobacter acetigenes. RNAcentral describes it as "T-box sequence". It matches the Rfam family "T-box leader". From Rfam's summary of the family: Uncharged tRNA acts as the effector for transcription antitermination of genes in the T-box leader family. T-boxes are found upstream of many aminoacyl-tRNA synthetase genes and some amino acid biosynthetic genes usually in Gram-positive bacteria. The record is from RNAcentral. Lineage: Bacteria; Bacillati; Bacillota; Tissierellia; Tissierellales; Sporanaerobacteraceae.